Molecule: ribosomal RNA, 4840 nt
Filed under: Patescibacteria group bacterium
Lineage: Bacteria
Description: 23S ribosomal RNA
Rfam family: Bacterial large subunit ribosomal RNA
Source: RNAcentral
AAUUAAACUAAAAAUAGUUUUAGUGUUUGGAAAUUGAAAAAUUGAGAUUUGUUUGAAAAUUGAAAAUUGAAAAUUGAAAAUUCUUAGUGGCGAGCGAUAGCGAGGCGCGAAUAUAUUCCCUUAGUAGCGGCGAGCGAAAAGGGAGGAGCCUAAACUUUAUAAACCGCGUGAAAUAGAGGUUGUUUUACUUCGGUAAAACAACUGAAAUUUUGCAAAAGGCGCCAAAGCCACAUGUUUAUGAAGUGUUAUAAGAUGAUUGCUUUUGUUUUUUGGAUAAAACAAGACAAAGUAAAAAACAACAUUUUUAAUUGAAGCGAGCUGGAAAGCUCAACCAAAGAGGGUGAUAGUCCUGUAAAUAAAAAAAAUGUUGCUUUGUUGCGGUUAUUCUUAAGUACUGCGGGACUCGUGAAAUCCCGUGGGAAUUUGGGUUGACUAUAACCCAAGGCUAAAUACUUCUUAUGAUCGAUAGUGAACUAGUACCGUGAGGGAAAGGUGAAAAGCAUCCCUGUUAGGGAGGUGAAAUAGUAUCUGAAACCAUAUACUUACAAAGAGUAGGAGCUCCGUGUCUCACUAGCGUUCGACACGAAUUUUCAAUUUUCAAUUUUCAUCCCUCUCCAGUUUUAAUAAACUGGGGAGGGAUGAAAAUUGAAAAUUGAAAAUUCUUCGUGGCGAGCGAUAGCGAGGCGCGAAGUGACUGCGUGCCUAUUGAAGAAUGAGCCAACGAGUUUGUUCUAUGUGGCUUGCCCCAUUAGAUAAUUUUAUAUCUAACGGGGCUUGCAUAAAUUCCGUUUGGAAAAUAUGCAUAGUGAAAGCGAGGGUUAAUAGCCCGAAUGCGUGAAACGCAUAACGUAAAACGCAUAACGAUUUUUAAUAAUUUUCGUUAUGCGUUACGCGUUGUGCGUUACGCGAUCAGUCGCAUGGACAAGACCCGAAGCCGUGUGAUCUAGCCAUGGCCAGGUUGAAGUCCGCCGAAAGGCGGAUGGAGGACCGAACCCACUAGUCGGGCAACACUAGGGGAUGAGCUGUGGUUAGCGGUGAAAUUCCAAUCGAACUCGGCAAUAGCUGGUUCUCCUCGAAAUAGCUUUAGGGCUAGCCUCGAGCACUAACUGUAGGGGGUAGAGCACUGAAUGAGGGCGGGUCUUCGGAUACCGUCUUUAAUCAAACUCCGAAUACUUACAGGUGUAGCUCGGGAGUCAGACUAUGGGGGCUAAGCUCCAUUAGUCAAAAGGGAAACAGCCCAGAUCGCAAUCUAAGGUCCCUAAAUAUAUGCUAAGUGUAAAAGGUGGUGUCGCGACUGCGACAAUUAGGAGGUUGGCUUAGAAGCAGCCAUCCUUUAAAGAAAGCGUAAUAGCUCACUAGUCAAGUUGUCUCGCGCCGAAAAUGUACCGGGGCUAAGCAUAUUACCGAAGAUGCGAGUUUCGGAAGUCAGAUUUCAGAUGUCAGAAAUCAGAUUUUCGGAUAUCUAAAUUAAAAAUUUGAUAUAAUAUUAUUAUGCAAGAUGUAAGUGAAUUAAAAAUUUAUCAAAACGCUUUAAAAUUAUUAAAGCCAGUAUAUAAAUUAGCAAAUUUAUUGCCAAAUAAUGAAUUUGAUUUUAAAAAUCAACUAUUAAGAUCAGCAAAAUCAAUUGCUCCAAAUAUUGCGGAGGGAUUUGCUAAGAAAAAAUCACAAAAUGAAUUUAAACGAUUUUUAUUAAUUGCGCUAGGUUCAAGUGAUGAAGUGAUUACGCAUUUGAGGCAAAUUAAAAUUAUUGCUUUUGCAAAUAUUAAGCAAGAAACUUGUAAUGCAUUGAUUGCUUUUUAUAAAAUUCAAUCUAAGCAAAUAAAUUGUUUUAUUAAAUCUAUUAUCAAAUUAAAUGCAAGUUAAUUAAUUUAGAAAUCUGAGAUCUGAAAUCUGAGAUCUGACUUCCGAAACGGUAGAGGAGUAUUUCAUACGCGUUGAAGCUGAACCGCGAGGUUUUGUGCAGUGUAUGGAAGUAAGAAUGUUGGCAUGAGUAGCAGAAAUCCCAAUGAGAAAUUGGGACACCGAAAGCCUAAGGUUUCCUGGGCAAUGAAAAUCAACUCAGGGUUAGUCGGUCCUAAGGCGAGGUCUGUGUAGUGCAGACGUAGUCGAUGGAUGAGCUGAUUAAUAUUUCAGCACUACUGUAAUUUUCCGAUGGAGUAACGCAUUUCAAAAGUUUAAGCGUAUUUAUGAUAUGUGCGUUGAUUGCUUUGAGAAAUGAUCUAGGUAAAUCCGGGUCAAUAAUUUCAAGGAGUUGUCAAAAGACAAAGCUGCAAGGUGGAGUCAAUUUAGAUAAAAGAAAUGCCAAGAAAAACUUCUAGGGCUAAAAUUAUAGUAACCGUACCGCAAACCGACACAGGUAGGCAGGGCGAGAAGCCCAAGGUGAACGAGAGAACCUUCGUUAAGGAACUCGGCAAAAUAGUGGCCGUAAUUUAGAGAUAAGGCCUCCCCUCCCCAGUUUUCACAAAUAUUAUUUGUGAAAACUGGGGAGGGGCGCAGCUAAAGAACCCAAGCGACUGUUUAUCAAAAACACAGCUCCCUGCUAACUCGAAAGAGGAUGUAUAGGGGGUGACGCCUGGCCAGUGUCCGAACGUUAAAGGGAGAGGUCAACUGUGCGUAGCACAGAAAUUCCAAUAACCAAGAUACAAGAUACAAAUAAAUUACAAUAUUCAAAUUACAAAUUUCAAAUAAAAUUUUGAUAUUUGAACUUUGGAAUUUGAAAUUUGUUUGUAUCCUUGUAUCUUGUAUCUUGGAAUUUCCGCGCUGCGCGCGGUGAAGCUUUGAACUGAAGCGCGGAUGAACGCCGGCGAUAACUAUGAUCGUCCUAAGGUUCUGUAAUUUAUUCUGUUAAAUUCUGAUAAAUUACAGAAGGACUGGGACGAUUAUAAAAAAAUUCGCUACCUAACUAUAAUGAAAAUUAUAUGUUGUCUAAAAAUACCCAGUAAAAUGCGUGGAAAUCUUCAAAAGAUUUUUAGUACCCCUCCCCAGUUCCUCUUCAGCUUUCGAAAGCUGAAGAGGAACUGGGGAGGGGUAAAAAUCUAAAAAUACAUGGAGGCAAUACGCAGGAUUGAUUAAAAUUAAUCAAUCCUCAGAGACUUAACACUGGGGUCCGUAAAAUAUGAAUAUAAAUCCUAAUUGGGUAAGUUCAUAUUAGGACAAGAUAAAGUCCAUGCUUAAUAGAAAUAUUAAGAAGGUGCAGAGCGAAAUUCCUUGUCGGGUAAGUUCCGACCCGCACGAAUGGCGUAACGACUUGGGUACUGUCUCAACGAAGGACUCGGCGAAAUUGCAAGGCGAGUAAAGAUGCUCGCUAAUCAUAGUUGGACGAAAAGACCCCAUGAAGCUUUACUACAGCUUGACAUUGAAUUUGGGGUGUGCAUGUUCAGAAUAGGUGGGAGUCCGCCGAUUCGGCGGACAUCAGUGAGAUACCACUCUUGUAUAUUUUUAAUUCUAACCCUGACCCUUUAUUAGAUACGAAAUAUUUUUCGUGUUUAAUACAGGGUCGGGAACAGUGUCUGGUGGGUAGUUUGUCUGGGGCGGAUGCCUCAUAAAAAGUAACUGAGGCGUUUACUAAGGUUGGCUAUCCUGGGAUGGAAAUCCAGGAGAUAGUGUAAAGGCACAAGCCAGCUUUACUGCAAGACCUGCAAGUCGAGCAGUUGCGAAAGCAGAACUUAGUGAUCCGACCGUGCGAUAUAGGACGGCGGAAGCUCAUCGGAUAAAAGCUACUCUGGGGAUAACAGGCUAGUCACGCCCAAGCGUCCACAGCGACGGCGUGGUUCGGCACCUUAACAUAUCGGGGUGCCAUCUCGAGUAAUCGAGUGAAUAAAUUUGGCUAAUAACGGUGAACUCCAUAAUUAAUCUAUGGCCUAGAAUAAAAUUAUGGACAAUACCGUGGGAAGUCCAUUUCGGACAUCGGAUUUCUGAUGUCAGAUGUCGGAUUAUAAAAAAUAUAAAAUCCGAAUUCUGAUUUCUGAAAUCCGAUUUCCGAUCUGUGACCCCGUAGAGACUUAUUCUAAUUUUUAGAAUAGAUAGUAUUUAUUACAUUAGUUAUAAAAUAAAAUUUACAAUGCUAUAAUACGCCAACCCCCGCCGUUCUCGCGAGCAGCGGGGUGAAAAUAUAGUCCAUACCAUUAGUAAUAAUGGAACGAUAUACGAUGUCGGCUCGUCGCAUCCUGGGGGUGAAGAAGCUCCCAAGGGUUUGGCUGUUCGCCAAUUAAAGCGGCACGCGAGCUGGGUUCAGACCGUCAAUUUGGCGGCUUUCCCGAGUAAUCGGGAUUGAAAAAGUCGACUCAUAUCGGUGAAAUUCUAAUAUAAAAUAUUUGCAAUUUAACCUGUCAUAUAUUAGAAUAAUACCGAGGGAAGUUAAUUAUGUCUAAGAAAAUUACACCAAAUCAAAAAGCUUAUAAAGAGAAAGAGACAUAAUUUAACCCCGUAGAGACUGAUCCUUAAAUGGAGAGGGCAUGAUAUUUUUAAGUCAUGUCAACACGUCGACCCCCUAACAGGUGUUUAGGGUGAUGGUAUAGUCCAUGCACUUAGUAAUAAGUGACUAAUUAUAAAAUGCGUAAGACAGGUCGGUCUCCUAUCCACUAUGAUCGUGGAAACUUGAGGAGUCCCUUUCCUAGUACGAGAGGACCGGAAAGGACAAAGCUCUAGUGUACCAGCUGUUCCAUCAGGGGCAUUGUUGGGUAGCUACCUUUGGUUAGGAUAAGCGCUGAAAGCAUCUAAGCGCGAAACCGUCUCCAAGAUUAGGUUUCAUAGGCUGGUUAUAGACUAUAACCUUGAUAGGCUCUAAGUGUAAGCAUGGUAACAUGUUCAGCUGAAGAGUACUAAUAAGCCAUUUAAUUUU